AUUGAACGCUGGCGGUAGGCCUAACACAUGCAAGUCGAACGGCAGCACAGUAAGAGCUUGCUCUUACGGGUGGCGAGUGGCGGACGGGUGAGGAAUACAUCGGAAUCUACUUUUUCGUGGGGGAUAACGUAGGGAAACUUACGCUAAUACCGCAUACGACCUACGGGUGAAAGCAGGGGAUCUUCGGACCUUGCGCGAUUGAAUGAGCCGAUGUCGGAUUAGCUAGUUGGCGGGGUAAAGGCCCACCAAGGCGACGAUCCGUAGCUGGUCUGAGAGGAUGAUCAGCCACACUGGAACUGAGACACGGUCCAGACUCCUACGGGAGGCAGCAGUGGGGAAUAUUGGACAAUGGGCGCAAGCCUGAUCCAGCCAUACCGCGUGGGUGAAGAAGGCCUUCGGGUUGUAAAGCCCUUUUGUUGGGAAAGAAAAGCAGCAGGUUAAUACCCCGCUGUUAUGACGGUACCCAAAGAAUAAGCACCGGCUAACUUCGUG
This 492-nucleotide ribosomal RNA is filed under the name uncultured bacterium. RNAcentral describes it as "partial 16S ribosomal RNA". It matches the Rfam family "Bacterial small subunit ribosomal RNA", at positions 30 to 507 of the family's 1533-position model. The record is from RNAcentral.